This 460-nucleotide ribosomal RNA is filed under the name uncultured bacterium. RNAcentral's name for it is "partial 16S ribosomal RNA". It matches the Rfam family "Bacterial small subunit ribosomal RNA", at positions 338 to 795 of the family's 1533-position model. The record is from RNAcentral.
CCUACGGGCGGCAGCAGUGAGGAAUAUUGGUCAAUGGACGAGAGUCUGAACCAGCCAAGUAGCGUGAAGGAUGACUGCCCUAUGGGUUGUAAACUUCUUUUAUAUGGGAAUAAAAUGUUCCACGUGUGGGAUUUUGUAUGUACCAUAUGAAUAAGGAUCGGCUAACCCCGUGCCAGCAGCCGCGGUAAUACGGAGGAUACGAGCGUUAUCCGGAUUUUUUGGGUUUAAAGGGAGCGUAGGUGGGUUGUUAAGUCAGUUGUGAAAGUUUGCGGCUCAAACGUAAAAUUGCAGUUGAAACUGGCAGUCUUGAGUACAGUAGAGGUGGGCGGAAUUCGUGGUGUAGCGGUGAAAUGCAUAGAUAUCACGAAGAACUCCGAUUGCGAAGGCAGCUCACUGGACUGCAACUGACACUGAGGCUCGAAAGUGUGGGGAUCGAACAGGAUUAGAUACCCGAGUAGUC